This 935-nucleotide ribosomal RNA is filed under the name Tetraclita rubescens. RNAcentral describes it as "partial 16S ribosomal RNA". The stretch from base 421 to 659 matches the Rfam family "Archaeal large subunit ribosomal RNA", at positions 1786 to 2143 of the family's 2987-position model. Lineage: Eukaryota; Metazoa; Arthropoda; Thecostraca; Balanomorpha; Tetraclitidae. The record is from RNAcentral.
UUCUUUCUCGAAAGUAAAAGAUCUAAUUAAGUUUAUUAGUUUUUGUGUCAAAAAAAUUUAAAAAGUUUAAUUAGGUGUGAAAUGUUAAUCGUUUUUACUAAUAUCUAGUAACUUUAGAAAAAAAUUUAGUUUGGGUUGUUGUGGAGUUCUUUAUUUUAAAGAUAUUUUAAAAACAAUCUUAUAUUUUAGGGGAUGAGCUCUGAAAUAAAUUUAAAAGAAAAUAAAAAGUUUUAAUUUUAGGUAGGCUUAGAAUUGGCCAUAAGAUAGUGUUAUAAGAUAAAAAUUAAAAUAUAAGAUUUAGUUUUCUUUUUUGUAUAUGAAGUUUAUUUAGAAAUGAUAAAAUCAUUGAAAAUAUGAUAGUAUAAGUAGAUAAUAAAAGAUUGAGAAAUAUUAAUUUGAAUUUUUCUUAGUAAAGAUAUAUAAAACUUGUAAUAAAAGAACUCGGCAAAUAGGAUUUCCGAAUGUUUAACAAAAACAUUUCCUCUCAAUAAAGAGAGGUAAGACCUGCUCACUGAAAUUUAAAGAGCCGCAGUAUUCUGACUGUGCUAAGGUAGCAUAAUCAUUAGUCUUUUAAUUGGAGACUGGUAUGAAUGGUUAAACGAGAAAUCGACUUUUUUUAUUAUAAAAAUCGAAUUUUAUUUUUUAGUGAAAAAGCUAAAAUUUUUCAGAAAGACGAGAAGACCCUAUAGAGUUUUAUAAUUCGAUAAAUUUUUUUUUAAUGGAUUUUUUUAGAAAAAAUUUUUUGGAAGUAUUUUGUUGGGGCGACAUUAAGAUAUAAAAAACUCUUUAUUUUUUAAACUUUGUUAAAAGAAUUAAUUGAUCCUUUAUAAAAGAUCAUAAGAAAAAAUUACCUUAGGGAUAACAGCGUAAUCUUUUUUGAGAGUUCUAAUCGACAAAAAGGUUUGCGACCUCGAUGUUGGACUAAAAUUUAGACA